Molecule: unclassified non-coding RNA, 240 nt
Filed under: soil metagenome
Description: partial contains 5.8S ribosomal RNA, internal transcribed spacer 2, and large subunit ribosomal RNA
Source: RNAcentral
AAGACUAUAGACCUGCGGAGUACCUGCGGAGGGAUCAUUAAUGAGUUGUAAAUGGGCUUGAUGCUGGCAUCUAAUUUUUUGGGUGCAUGUGCUCGCUCUAACAAUCAUUCCAAACACCUGUGCACAUAUUCUUGAAGGGGGUGCUGAAUUUUUUUGGUGCCCCUUACACAAAACAUUAAUGAAUAAUUAUGAACGUGAUUUGUGCCGCAAGGCCUUAACAUAUAAAUACAACUUUCAACA